GAUACCCGUAUAACAAGGCCUAGGGUUGCAGACCUACAAGGAGAUGCUUAUAUAUAUAGUCUUUAUUAAAAAGGGAGUUGAAUCAUAUAUGUCAUUUGAAUGUCUUGGGGUUUUGCUGUGUUUUUUUUUGAGAGAAGUGGCACUUUUUUGGGGUUCAGUGAAAAAUAUUUUUCUAUUCUAAAAAUGUAUACAGUACUUCUUAAAAGGUAAGAUUUUUAAAGAAAACAUCUUACAUAUUUUUCUUUUUUAAUUAUUAAAGAAUCUGAUCUAGUAGAGAAUGUUUUGCAAUUCCAGUACUAUAGCUUUAAUAUAAAUAAGGUUUGAGGAUUUUUUUUUUUAAGGGUUAGAGUCUUUUGUCAUUUCUAAUGGUAUGAGCUUCAGUAGUAGCCUUAAGAAUGUGACAAAAUGAUGUAUUAUUUUAAAUUAAAAUUUAAAAAAAAUGUUUACAUAGUCCAGUUCAUUCUCUGAAUCAGAAUUGCCUGGUAUAUAACACAUGGUUCUAUUACUCCGAAAAUUAAAAAGGACUUGUAACCAGUUAGAGCAGGAAUUGCAACCCAUAUAUUUUUCUAGGUUUCUGCCAUAGCUAGUCCCUAGCAUGAUGCAUGGUAUAAAAUUAGUCUCUGAAGUAUUUGUCGAAUGAGUAUUGUAGGUGAAUACUUGCUAAAGAAAGGUAUUUUGGAGAGUACUGGUUGAAGCAAUCUGGCUUAAACCACCCUCUGUGAUAAUAUUUAACUUUAUAUAUGAACCUAUAAAGGGAACUAUAUUUCAGUUUGUCUGAACAUUCUCAAUGGAAAGAAUUAUUGAUGUUAUAUUUUUACAUACUCAGUUGUAAUGUAAGUAUUUUUAGUUUGUUUAAUUUUGUUAAAAAUGUCCUCAAUCAUGUUUUUGUGGAGGCCCCUCCUCCCUUUUUAAUUGAAGUAUAGUUGAUUUACAAUGUUGUGUUAGUUUCUGGUGUACAGCAAAGUGAUUCAUAUACACACACAUAUUUGUAGAGCCCAUUUUUAAAAUAAUUAAGACCUCAGUUAUAUUUAUGAUAUGAAUAACAUGUUUUGAAGUAAUAACACUAUUUUAAAGGAGUUACCCAGUAUUCGAUUACUUUAUCUUAUUGUUUUCAUCUCACAGCAUUGUCACCCAAAGGACCUUUUUCCCUCUUCAGUAUUUAUAAGAUUCUGCUAACGGAAAAGUUAAAUUUUAUAAAUCUUACAAAUUUAUUAUGAAAUUGCCAAUGAUUUAUAUGUUCCUGUUAAAGAAAACCAUUUCAGAAAUUCGUUUAUAUUUGGAUGACUAAUAAGUCUCAUAUAAGAUUAUUACAUGUUUGAGGGAUUUUUCCUUUUAGAAAAGUAAAAUUUUUUGGGGUGAGUGUGUAGCUAGGGAAGAAUAAUAGAUUGUAAAAGGUGAGCAUUGUGAGCAUUUACUCUUGAUAGCUGGGCCCAGUUCAGAUAGUUUAGCAUAAACGUCAUUGAGCAUUGCAUAAGAGUAGGUCAGAAGAUUCCCAGCCUAUGUCUUCUUUUUUAAAACUUGAGGUAACGUUGGUGUUUAUAACAUUAUAUGUUGACUUCUGUAUACACUACAGUGUUCUCACCAUCAAAAGUUUAGUUUCCAUCUGUCCAUCACCAUACCAGUUGACUCUCUUUGCCCAUUUUAUUCUCCCACACAUUCCCCCUUCCCUUCUGGUAACCACUGCUGUCUCUCUGUAUCUGUGUGUUUGUUUGGUUUUCUUCAUUUAUUUUUAUAUUCCACAUAUGAGUGAAAUCAUACAGUAUUUGUUUUUCUCCAUCUGACUUGUCUUCACAUAAUACCCUUAAGUUCCUUACAGAUUGUUGCAGAUGGCAAGAUUUCAUCUUUUUUUUUUUUAAUGACUGAGGAGUAUUCCAUUUCGUUUGUGUGUGUGUAUGUGUGCAUAUAUAUACACACAUGCACACACACCACAUCUUCUUUAUCCAUUCAUCUGUCAGUGGGCACUUAGGUUGGUUCCAUAUCUAGGAUAUUGUAAAUGAUGCUGCUAUGAAUAUAGGGGUGCAUAUGAUUUUCUGAAUGAGUGUUUUCAUAUUCUUUGGAUAAAUACCCACAAGUGGAAUAGCUGGAUUAUAUGGUAAUUUAUUUUAUUUUUUUUGCGGUACGUGGGCCUCUCCCUGCUGUGACCUCUCCCGUUGCGGAGCACAGGCUCUGGACGCGCGGGCUCAGCAGCCAUGGCUCACGGGCCCAGCCGCUCUGCGGCAUGUGGGAUCUUCCCGGAACGGGGCAGGAACCCGUGUCCCCUGCAUUGGCAGGCAGACUCUCAACCACUGCGCCACCAGGGAAGCCCGGUAAUUUUAUUUUUUAAUUUUUUGAGGAAGCUGCAUACUGUUUUCCAUAGUGGCUGCACCAUUUUGCAUUCCCACGAACAGUGUCCAAGGGUUCCAAUAUCUCCAUAUGCUCUCCAACACUUGUUAUUUCUUGUCUUUCUGAUAACAGCCAUUCUAACCAGAGUGGUGGAAUACCUCAUUGUGGUUUUGAUUUGCCUUUCCUUAAUAAUUAAUGAUGCUGAGCAUCUUUUCAUGUACCUGCUGGCAUCUGUAUGUAUUUUUAGGAAAAUGUAUAUUCAGCUGUUCUGCCCGUUUUUAAAUCAUGUUUGCUUUUUGUUGAGUUGUAUGUGUUAUAUGUUUUAGAUAUUAAUCUCUUAUUGGAUAUAUGAUUUGCAAUCUUUUUUCUGCUAUUGGUAGGUUGUCUUUUCAUUUUGUUGAUGGUUUCCUUUGCUAUGGAGAAGCCCUUUAGUUUGAUGUAGUCCCAUUUGUUUAUUUUUGCAUUUGUUCCCUUGCCUAAGGAGCCAGAUCCAAAAAAAAUAUUGCUAAGACCUUCAUCAAAGAGUGUACUGUCUGUGUUUUCUUCUAUUGCUAAGACCUUCGUCAAAGAGUGUACUGUCUGUGUUUUCUUCUAUUGCUGAGACCUUCGUCAUAGAGUGUACUGUCUGUGUUUUCUUCUAUGGGUUUUUUAUGGUUUUAGGUCUUAUAUUUAAGUCUAAUUCAUUUUGUGUAUGGUGUAAGAUAGUGGUCUAGUUUCAUUCUUUUGUUUGUGGCUGUCCAGUUUUCCCAGCACCAUUUAUUGAAGAGACUCAUUUCUCUGUUGAAUGUACUUUGCUCCUUUUUCAUACAUUAAUUGUUCACGUACGUGUGGAUUUAUUUCUGGGCUCUGAAUUCUGUUUCAUUGGUCUGUGUGUCUUAUUUUUCUGUCAAUACCAUGUUCUUUUGAUUACCAUAGCUUUGCAGUAUAACUUGAAAUCAGGGAGUGUGAUACCUCCAGCUUCUGAUUUGUAUUUUAUUUCAGAGUUGCUUUGGUUAUUUGGGGGUUUUGUGGUUCUGUAUAAGCUUUAGGAGUUUUUGUUUCAUUUCUAUGAAAACUCUUAUGAUUUUGAUAGGGAUUGUGUUGAAUCUGUAGGUUGCUUUAGGUAAUGUGGACAUUUUAUCAAUGUUAAUUCCAGUUCAUGAGCACAGAAUGUCUUUCCAUUUCUUUGUGUGUUCUUCAGUUUCAUUCAACAAUGUCUUAAGAGUUUUCAGUACACAGAUCUUUCACCUCCUUGGUUCAAUACAUUCCUAGGUAUUUUAUUCUUUUUGUUGUAAUUGUAAAUGGAAUUGUUUUCUUAAUUUCUCUCUCUGCUAGUUUGUUGUUAGCAUAUGGAAACACAGCAGUUUUUUGUAUAUUGAUUUUGCAUGCUGCAACCUUAGUGUAUUAAAAAUUUUUUUUUAAAUUUAUUUUUGGCUGUGCUGGGUCUUCAUUGUUGCACGUGGGCUUCCUCUAGUCGUGGUGAGUGGGGUCUACCCUUCGUUGUGGUUCGUGGGCUUCUCAUUGUGGUGGCUUCUCUUGUUGCGGAGCACGGGCUCCAGGCGCACAUGCUCAGUAGUUGUGGUGCACAGGCCUAGUUGCUCCGUGGCAUGUGGGAUCUUCCUGGACCAGGGCUUGAACCCAUGUCCCCUGCACUGGCAGGCGGAUUCCCAACCACUGUGCCACCAGGGAAGUCCCUGUAUUUAUUAUUUUUAAUAGUUUUUUGGUGGGGUCUUUAGAGUUUUCUAUGUAUACAUCAUGUCAUCUACAAAGUGGCAGUUCUACUUCUUCCUUUCCAAUUUGGAUGCCUUUUUUUUCCUUUUUCUUCCCUAAUCGCUCUAGCUAGGACUUCCAGUACUAUGUUGAGUAAGAGUGGCUAGAGUAAGCAUCCUUGUCUUGUUCCUGAUCUUAGAGGGAUGGCUUUCAGUGUUUCACUGUUGAGUAUAAUGUUAGUCAUGGGUUUGUCAUAAAUGGCCCUUGUUAUGAUGAGGUAUGUUCCUGCUAUACCCAUUUUAUUGACAGUUUUUAUUAUACAUCAGUAUUGAAUCUUGUCAAAUAUCAAUAUUUUUCUACAUCUAUUGAGAUGAUCAUAUGAUUUUUAUCUUUCAUUUGGUUGCUGUGAUGUAUCAUACUGAUUUGCAGAUGUGGAACCAUCCUGCAUCCCUGGAAUAAAUCCUACUUGAUCAUGGUGUUUGAUCAUUUUAAUUAUUGUAUUUGUUUUGCUAAUAUUUGUGGAGUACUUUUGCAUCUAUGUUCAUCAGGAUAUUGCCUAUAAUUUUCUUCUUUUGUAUUGUCCUUGUGUUGGCUUUGUAAAAUGAAUUUAGAAGCAUUCCCUCCUCUUCAGUUUUUUGGAAGAGUUUGAGAAGGAUAGGUAUUAGCUGUUCUUUGAAUGUUCGGUAGAAUUCACCUGUGAAGCCAUCUGGUCCUAGACUUUUGUUUUUUGGGAGGUAUUUGAUUACUAUUUCAAUCUCUCUCGUAGUGAUUGGUCUAUUCAGGUUUUCUGUUUCUUCAUGAUUCAGUCUUAGAAGGUUAUAUGAUUCUAAGUAUUUAUGUAUUUCUUCUAGACUGCCCAAUUUGUUGGCAUAUAAUUUUCGUAGUAUUAUAAUCUGUUGUAUUUCUGUGGUAUCCAUUGUAAUUUCUCCUUUUUGUCUCGGAUUUUAUUUAUCAGAGACUUCUUAGACAGUCUAGCUAAAGGUUUGUCAAUUUUGUUCCUUU
This 5013-nucleotide long non-coding RNA is filed under the name Phocoena sinus (vaquita). RNAcentral's name for it is "lncRNA (ENSPSNG00000010646.1)". Lineage: Eukaryota; Metazoa; Chordata; Mammalia; Artiodactyla; Phocoenidae. The record is from RNAcentral.